RNAcentral lists this ribosomal RNA (465 nucleotides) under uncultured bacterium. Its description in RNAcentral is "partial 16S ribosomal RNA". It matches the Rfam family "Bacterial small subunit ribosomal RNA", at positions 338 to 795 of the family's 1533-position model. The record is from RNAcentral.
CCUACGGGUGGCAGCAGUAGGGAAUCUUCCACAAUGGACGAAAGUCUGAUGGAGCAACGCCGCGUGAGUGAAGAAGGGUUUCGGCUCGUAAAGCUCUGUUGGUAGUGAAGAAAGAUAGAGGUAGUAACUGGCCUUUAUUUGACGGUAAUUACUUAGAAAGUCACGGCUAACUACGUGCCAGCAGCUGCGGUAAUACGUCGGUGGCAAGCGUUGUCCGGAUUUAUUGGGCGUAAAGCGAGUGCAGGCGGUUCAAUAAGUCUGAUGUGAAAGCCUUCGGCUCAACCGGAGAAUUGCAUCAGAGACUGGUGGACUUGAGUGCAGAAGAGGAGAGUGGAACUCCAUGUGUAGCGGUGGAAUGCGUAGAUAUAUGGAAGAACACCAGUGGCGAAGGCAGCUCUCUGAUCUGCAACUGACACUGAGGCUCGAAAGCAUGGGUAGCGAACAGGAUUAGAUACCCCAGUAGUC